Molecule: small RNA, 28 nt
Filed under: Bombyx mori (domestic silkworm)
Lineage: Eukaryota; Metazoa; Arthropoda; Insecta; Lepidoptera; Bombycidae
Description: piRNA piR-bmo-2141224
Source: RNAcentral
AUGGCUUUUACAAGGCUCCUGGGCUGUU